CAAUUUUACAAGAUUUAAUUUAUUAACUAUUAUACAGUUCACAUAAGGCCUUCAUCUUCAAACACUAUUCUCAGUCAGACAAAUUCCAUGGUUUGCUCCUGGUGCACAGUACAUAAACUUUCACGUUUCAGCUAUUUCACUUUAGUAUUGGUUUUUGUUCUAAUUUCAUGUUUUAAAACAGGGAGAGGCUUUCAUCCAUCUCCCUUGGUGUGUCUUUUUUUUAUAACUCAUGCACUAAACUUAAGUGGCCUUGAACCAUUCACAAAAAUUGUAAAAAUGGACUUUCAAUCAUUGAAAUACACACUAGAAAUGUUUUCUACCAUUCACUAAAGGGUGGUGUUCCCCAACAUACAAAUAAACAACCAUUAUAGAGUAGUAUGCACUCACUUUUUGCUCACUGAACAGCAGAUUUGCCAAGGUUGUGUCAGAGGUCAAGUGAUGCAGUAACAUUAUAUUCUCCCAGGAAUCGUGUUGUAAUGGGACAGUUGCUUAGUUGGUUUGGUGCCAGUCUAAAUGUUACAGCUUCUGAGCAGUUUGAGAAGAGCCCUCAUUUUAGCACAUAAAAUGACUGGCUUCCGACAGCAUUACGAUUCCAAUAGUACCAGUAAUUGACGAUCCCAAAUACUAAUACAACCAAUGAUCUAACUUUUCAGGUCAUUGUUGCACCCAAGAACCAUAACGGAGCCACAAUCCUCCAGAAGUUGUAAGUACAGUUGUCCAUUUUUUCCUCAUCUCUACUGAAAAGACAGUAUUUCCUCUCCAAAGUUUAAUGGUUAAAGUUACCAGGCCUUCAUUGACAGUGCUACCACUGAAAAUGUGCUGCUUGUUUUCAAAGAAAAGGGACAAUAUGCCGGCACAAAACUAAGUAACUAGAGCAGGUAAACAGCUGCAGGUGCUUCCUGAAUGUGUCCAUCCACAAAUGUUUCACUUCUACUGGUCAUUGUAUCGUAUAGCAGGACUAGCAGUAACAGUGCGUUGAGAAUACUAAACCUUCUGAGUUAAAGUUCCUUAA
This is a long non-coding RNA of Amphiprion ocellaris (clown anemonefish), 1012 nucleotides long. NCBI's taxonomy places the organism in Eukaryota, Metazoa, Chordata, Actinopteri, Pomacentridae. The record is from Ensembl.